CGAAAGAUUUAUCGGCUUAAGAUGAGCCCGCGUUGGAUUAGCUAGUUGGUGGGGUAAAGGCCUACCAAGGCGACGAUCCAUAGCUGGUCUGAGAGGAUGAUCAGCCACACUGGGACUGAGACACGGCCCAGACUCCUACGGGAGGCAGCAGUGGGGAAUAUUGGACAAUGGGCGGAAGCCUGAUCCAGCCAUGCCGCGUGAGUGAAGAAGGCCUUAGGGUUGUAAAGCUCUUUCACCGGUGAAGAUAAUGACGGUAACCGGAGAAGAAGCCCCGGCUAACUUCGUGCCAGCAGCCGCGGUAAUACGAAGGGGGCUAGCGUUGUUCGGAUUUACUGGGCGUAAAGCGCGCGUAGGCGGAUAGAUAAGUNAGAGGUGAAAU
RNAcentral lists this ribosomal RNA (379 nucleotides) under uncultured Hyphomicrobiales bacterium. RNAcentral describes it as "bacterial SSU rRNA". It matches the Rfam family "Bacterial small subunit ribosomal RNA", at positions 201 to 600 of the family's 1533-position model. The record is from RNAcentral. Lineage: Bacteria; Pseudomonadati; Pseudomonadota; Alphaproteobacteria; Hyphomicrobiales.